Molecule: non-coding RNA, 78 nt
Organism: Nematostella vectensis (starlet sea anemone)
Lineage: Eukaryota; Metazoa; Cnidaria; Anthozoa; Actiniaria; Edwardsiidae
Source: Rfam
UGCAAAGGAUGAUAUCUGUCACGACGGUCUUCUAAUGCCAAUAGCAGCUGAUGACAAUGUGAUAUCUGAUGCAAGGAG